Non-coding RNA from Phasianus colchicus (ring-necked pheasant), 4090 nucleotides. The record is from RefSeq and is a predicted model, not a curated record. Lineage: Eukaryota; Metazoa; Chordata; Aves; Galliformes; Phasianidae.
CUUUAUCUCCUGUCUGGCUCUGCUGAUAAACUAAACUGCAGGAGAAAUCUAUACGCACAUGAAACCAUCCAGGGCAAUAGAUGUACAAAACGUGUCCAAAAAAAAUGCAUGUAUCUAUCACGAUGCAUCUGACCUGAAAAAAUUGUCAGAAAACUACAAUCAAGGAAAAACAACUCCACCUCCCUUUCAGAAUGUGGGACGUGACUGUUUCAGGCCAUGUUUUGUCUGGGAGUGUCCCUCCCCAUCUGGUGAACACAAUGAGGAUUGUGUCUCAGGUAUCUUGAAACUAUUUUGCUACUGUUGGCCAAUUUAGAGGGGAAAAGCCAUGCACAAAAGGGUCUAAGUGAUUUGGCUCCAUUAGCUAUGAUUUAUGAAUCCUAAUUCCCAGUUUACUAAUCGCAGGAUCACACAAUGGCCGUGACUCCAGAAAUUGCUUAAAUAUGUUCCUCUGCUCUACUGGAUGUUAAACGUGCUUAAAAAUAGAUCGUAGAAUGGCUUGAAUUGGAAGGGACCUCAAAGAUCAACAGGUGGUCCAUUUUUGAAUGAGGAACAUCCUCAAUUUGGGCUUCUUAAAAGCAAGCUAGGUUUUAUAUUACUUGGAUUUACCCUUUGCUUUGUGUUUACCUGCUCUGAGGAGGGAAGUGUUCGGAGAAAGGAGGCAGAGCUGAAGUCUGAAAAAUUCUGAAGUUUUGAACACUCUCUGCUCAAAGUCCUCCCAUGAGAUGGGGGGCUGCAGGAGCUGCCACGCGGGGUCUUCUGGCCAGUGGGUCUCAAUGAAGUGCUCAGGGUCGGUGAGGAAGAAGAAAUCAUCAUGCCUGCAAGGGGAGAGAAAAGGAUGUCAUGGAGGGAGCAAGAAAACACUUUGCAUCCAGGGCACUGAUAAUGAUGUACCUCUGUAUGAGAAGUGAGGUUCCCCCACACCAUCAGAGUGGAACCAACAUCAGGAAGGGCCAAGCUUUUGUUUAGGCUUUCCAGAUUAACUGUGUUACAGUACUUAGUAAUUUUGCUUUCCACGUACCCAGUCCUGUGACCUCUUCCAAGAGUUUACCCAUCUUUUGUUUUGUUUAGAAGAAAAAACGCAUCACAAUUUGAACGUGCUCAACCUGACCUUCUGGGUACCACCUCUGCUUAGGUAUCUGUUGAGUGAGUCAACCUUCACCCUUGUGUUGGGUUUGUGGUGGGAAGCCUUGUUGUGUCUGUUGAUCUGAUGGUUCUGAGAACACUGACAUUCACCCUGCCCAGCCAGAUCCAGGACCAGAUCCCCGAGGGGAUGGACCCACAAGAAGCUGUUAUCUCUGCCUGUUGCCAUAGGUGAUGUUUUAGUCUGCUUCUGCUCAGUUAAAAGCAGCCCAUACUCCCUGGCGUUAUAAACUGUUCUCAGCAAGAUAAUUACCUACUAGAAAUUCCACAAUUAUUUCAUUAUGCAUUAUUAGGGAGAAAAAAAAAGAAUUAAAAAUGUCAAUCCCAUAAUGUAGUUAAUGGAAAUUAUUAAAUUGUAUAAAUAACCUCUGUGAGAGUCAUUAUUGGCUUAGCAUGGGCUAAGAAAUCUCAAGUAAUUAUGUGUGGAGCCACAUCAGACCAAAGUUUCUGUAAAAACAAGGAUUUGUUAUGUCAAAAGUGACGCUGGCCACAAAUAAAAUAAGUUGGUGGGGAGUGGAGGUGGUUAUCAUCCGAGAAGUUGCCACUACAGCUCAGGGAGUAAGGAUUUGGAUGUAGUAGGUGUUUAUGUGUAGACUGUCUAUUUUUGCACAGGGUUCCCGAGCAACCACUGUGGUUAAAAGUGGACCAUCUGCAAGCAGUAUCUGGGGAUGCACCUGAAAUGAGAGCUCAAGACCUGGCAAAUCUGUGCCUGCACCCCAGCAGGCAUCCAGGAGCCACCACUGUCCUUCCAGCUGCACUGCGUUCCACAUGUGGCUGCUCUUCUGCUGCUGGCACCACUGACCUCCACGGGCACACGGGCCUCGGCUGAACCCUGGGAUCUCCACGCUGCUCAGACCUGCCUCCCUGCCAUGGAGAGACAACAGGGAGAGGUAACAACACACCAAACACUGCUUGGUACCUGCUUUUUGGAAACCAGCCCACCCUCCGUGGUAAGUACAGCCUCCUUAAAGCCAAGGCCCUGCUCUGCUUGUGCCAGAUGUUGGCCAACUUCAACAACCCCCCUGCUCGCUCCAAACCCUUGUUCCUCAUAUCUUUGAUUGUGGUUGAUUUGCCAAACUCGUAUCUGCUCUUCCACCCAAGCAGAAAAGAAGGGAGGCAACUUCUGUGCCCAAAGACAUGGUGGGGAAAUGGUUUCAGCAUCUGCUGGAGUUCAAAAGUAUCUGAAUAGUGCUCUCAGAUACAUGGACUGAUUUUUGGGGGGUCCUGUGUGGAGCCAGGGGUUAGACACAGUGAUCCUUACUGGUUCCUCCCAACUUGGGAUACUCUAUGAUUCUAUGCCGGUUGUGGGGUAGCGCCCAUCCUAUCUUAAUGUUCCCCUCUCAUAUCUUCAAGGCAGCAGGAGAAGAAAGCCCAAGGCGAGUUUUACCUGCACAUUUCCCAGCAUAAAUGAGCAUAUCCAGAACACACGGCUCUCCCCGUCUGCAGGACCUGCUCUGGCAUGUGGAUCUUCUGAGAGAACCCCAGGAAGCCAUCCACAUCAUAUUCUAGGAAAGGGAGAAUACCACCCAAUUUCAGGCUAACGACACGAAGAGCCAAAAUCCAGGAGGUUGCAUUGAAGGAAAGGGCUCUCAGCCCCACCACAUGACUGUGAAACAGUGGGACCAGACUUACCAAUGUUAUGGCAAAGCCAGAACCAUAUGGCCCGCACCAUCUCCAGUUUGCUCUGGGAUUUGGCAGUGAUCAGGGGAACGAUGGCCUGGACCGACAUCUUGGUGUGCCCCGAUUUCAGCUGCAAUGGAGAGGACAGGUGAACACUUGAACCAGAAAUGAGUCAAAAGCACAAAAUCUCCUACGGAGACUGGGCACGUUCUGCUUCAUGAGCUCCCAGCACUGGCACCUCACAACAGCAAAGAUGUGUUUGAGGUGACCCUAAAAGCCACCGCCUCCUGGCACCAAUCUGUCUCAAAAUCCUUUGAAGCUCGGGUAAGUAUUUAACUGACAUCACUGAGUUGGAUCUGGUAUUAUUGUGCUGGAAAUGUCAGGUUUCUGCAAAAUGAAGGUGGGUUUGUGUUGGGGUGGAGUGGGGAAACACAGCCAAAAAUUAGAGUGCACACUGUCUUAGUUGCAUUUCCACACUUGGCUACCCUGCUGCAUAUCUUCCACAGGGAGGUGGUGGAGUCACCAUCCCUGGAGGUGUCCAAAAACUGUGGAGAUGGAGCACUGAUGGAUGUGGUCGGUGAGCACAGUGGGUUGGGUUGGACUUAGACUCAGGGAUCUUAGAGCUCUUUUCCAACCUCAAUGAUUCCAUGAUCUUACCAUGAGCUCACUGUGGUCCCUUGUAGUGUUUCCUGAAAAUCUGGGAAUACAGCAGUAAGAUCAUUUUGGAUGUUAGUUAUCUAGCUUGGGAUGUAGAAAGUCACCACAGAACCACAGAAUAACCUUGAGUAUGAAGGGACCUAUGGGCAUCAUUGAGUCCAACCCCUGCCUAACCAUGGGUCAACUGAUACACAGGGAGAUGCUAAGGUUGCCUGCAGGUCUACCAGAAACAAACUGCCCACACUUCUACGUGCAGAGAGACAUAAUUCCCCAAGGUGUAUAACGGCAAAUAAGCAUCCCAGCUGCACAGGCAGUGCUCACCAUGUCAUGUCUUCUAAUCCUCCACUGCUUCUUGACUGCUUUUCACUUAUUGUAGUCAUGUCUGAGAUGGAGCGAGCAGUGCAGGCUGUUAGAAGAAGUGUACUUCCAGAAAUACAUUGCUUUUGUUUAUUUUCACUCAUCCCUGCUUUGCAAGGAUGGAGUGUGUGGGAAGGACAAAUGAUCUGUCCUUGCAGAUUUAAAUAGAGGAAGAAAAUAAAUGGUAUUUGAAUAUAUGGUCUUGCUUGAAAAUGAGAAAAAAAUGGAUUUUGAGCUGAGAGAUGGCUUUGCAAGGAAAAUGCCUGGUUGCCAGACUCUGGCACAUCCUUCAGCCAGAAGAAAGCUCUGAGAUGAG